CCAUUUUAAAAAAAGAAAUUGCAAGAUUACACAUUAUGGCAGAAAUCUUGUUAUUUAUGUUUCUCCUAC
Etheostoma spectabile (orangethroat darter) is the source of this 69-nucleotide long non-coding RNA. RefSeq lists it as uncharacterized. NCBI's taxonomy places the organism in Eukaryota, Metazoa, Chordata, Actinopteri, Perciformes, Percidae. The transcript is spliced from 3 exons. The record is from RefSeq and is a predicted model, not a curated record.